ACACUCCUACGGGAGGCAGCAGUGGGGAAUAUUGCACAAUGGGCGCAAGCCUGAUGCAGCCAUGCCGCGUGUAUGAAGAAGGCCUUCGGGUUGUAAAGUACUUUCAGCGGGGAGGAAGGCGAUAAGGUUAAUAACCUUGUCGAUUGACGUUACCCGCAGAAGAAGCACCGGCUAACUCCGUGCCAGCAGCCGCGGUAAUACGGAGGGUGCAAGCGUGAAUCGGAAUUACUGGGCGUAAAGCGCACGCAGGCGGUCUGUCAAGUCGGAUGUGAAAUCCCCGGGCUCAACCUGGGAACUGCAUUCGAAACUGGCAGGCUAGAGUCUUGUAGAGGGGGGUAGAAUUCCAGGUGUAGCGGUGAAAUGCGUAGAGAUCUGGAGGAAUACCGGUGGCGAAGGCGGCCCCCUGGACAAAGACUGACGCUCAGGUGCGAAAGCGUGGGGAGCAAACAGGAUUAGAAACCCCUGUAGUCCCAGA
RNAcentral lists this ribosomal RNA (475 nucleotides) under uncultured organism. Its description in RNAcentral is "partial 16S ribosomal RNA". It matches the Rfam family "Bacterial small subunit ribosomal RNA", at positions 333 to 800 of the family's 1533-position model. The record is from RNAcentral.